AAUUAAAUUAAAAAUUACAGUUAUAAUAUGAUAUCUAUUUUUCAUAUAGUGUAAGAAACUUUCGUAUUAAUUGUGCAGGAGACUGUUAAUUUAAACUUUAUUAUGGUAACGUUCAAAACUCGCUCGUUUUGCAAAGUUACGUUUGGAGAUUCAUGUUAACAGUCAUUGUUUAAUGAAAGGCACAUUGGACUACGGCUUAGUAAUAUGUGUGACACUUGCUUGCAGCACUGUAACGUAAAUCGUUAACACCGUGUCCUAAAUAGACGUGACACGCGGUACCGGGUUUCUUUUCAGUUUAUGUCUUUACGUUAUAGGACGGGUCAUUAUAAAUUAUGCCUUUCGAUUAUCGCAACGCCUCGUCGCGUUUGGUUAAGCACAUGGUGGAACAGUAUGCACAUCACUGUACCUAACGUACUGUACACCUGUGAGCGGCACGACGAGACAAAAGACGGUAAAACUCAUUAUUAAUCGGUGAUGCUGUACAUUCUGGAUGAUGCACAGCCACAUUUUAUAAUACUGUUUUUUAUUUUCGUGUCGCGCCGCUCGCGUUCAAUAUAAAGUUAGACAAGACGCAAUUAAUUACUGGGAGAGUAACUGUAGUGGUCUAAUGGUAAGAGUCGAACUUCACGAACCUUUCACUGCUUGCAGUAAGGCUAAAGUGCUACGUGAAUAAGAUGGGUGUAGUUUUGUGCUACUAGCUGUAAAGUGUUUUUGCACUAUUGAGUUAUAAAUACUGCCCAGUAAUACUUAACUAGAUGUAAAUCACAAUUCUUGUGUCAAUGUUUGUUUGUAAUCUUUUUCAGCUAUCCAUCUGAAAAAGAAAAGCUGGCACUCUCAAAGGAGAUUGUGUUGUUGGAUUAUGGUCUCAUUUGGUCAAAAAGAGGGACAUGUACCGAGCAUUUUUUUUUUUUUUGAUGGGCCAUCACACAGUGGAUUUAUAAAAUGAGAUUACAGAACAUCAGACGGUAGCUUCAACAGAGUUGAAGUGGGAGGACAUCAUCAAUAAAGAAUGCCAUUGACCAAACCUUCAGUCAUCAAAGAAGAUGGAUACAGGUAAUGACAAAAUCACCAAUUAUUGGUGAAAUCUUUAAGGAAUAUCCCCAAUUUCUGGACAUGCCAGUGUUUGUAAUAUACUUAAAGGCGGGGUGCACAAUGUUUGAAAGCCAAUGUUGAUAUUUGCAAUCACCUAAACAAACACGCCCCUACCCCAAUAGAAUCUGGACCUUCUUUUAAAAGACCCGCCCCACACAUACGCAACGUGGCAAGGAUGUCGGUUAGUAGACACGCUCCUUACUGCUGAUUGGCUAUAAAUGUGUUUUGGUAGUCGGCCCGUCUCCUUUUCCAAAGCGUUUUUCAAACAUUGUGCACUCCGCCUUUAACUGGAGAUAACUUUACACAAAGUGUUUCAUAAUUCCAAUAUUAAUAUUUCUUUUUAAAUUCACUGACAUCAAGUUUUCCAGACUUACCGAUGGGAAAGAAGAAAUGGGAAUGUGACAAUUAUUGAGAAACUCAGGGGAAAAAGCAUCUUUUGAGAAGAAAAUGGACAUCAGACAUUCAUUGAAGAAAGCUGACAGUCAACAUAAUGAUGAGAGCUGUGUUAUACAAUGUUAAGGAUACUCGUUCAUCUUCUGCUGUGUCAGUCCUGUGGGACUUGAUGCCGGCUGGUACCAGUGUGACGUCUUUGCUUACUAAAUGAUCAAAGGGUGUCUGAAAUCAGCUCUGCCACAGUUGGUUUCCAACGGUUCUUCAGGACAUGGAGGCCACUACCUAACUGUUGCAAUGAACGAUUAUUUUGCCUUUCCACCUGAUGUUGACAAUCUGACCUGUGCGGUACUGAAAACAACUUGCACUGAAAUAUAUCUUAAAAUAUAUCAGUGCCCUUUGUUUUGCCUCAAAAUGCACACCAGUAAUGUUUUUUGUUGAAACCAGUUAUAUUUCCUAAUUAAACUAAGGCCUAGUCCUGGAUUAAGCUAAUCCCCUGUCCGGGAAACCGCCCCUAAAUGUUUUGUGACGGAAAUUUCUUUGAAUACACUUGUCAAGUUCAUUUUAAGUAUUUUUCUAAAUGUAAGAUAACAUGUUAAUGUUUCAGGACAAGUUAAAAAAUUUUGAUAACUUGCAUGUUGGAAACGAUUUCAGACAUUGUUCUAUUCAACAUGUUUAACACAGUUGCUUUUAAAUUCAAUGAAUUAUUUUAUAAAUAGUGUGUUAAAACGUAUCAAUGUAAUGUAUGUUUGAAGUAAUUAUACUUGCACUUACAUUUAUUUAAAUUAG
This is a non-coding RNA of Misgurnus anguillicaudatus (oriental weatherfish), 2271 nucleotides long. NCBI's taxonomy places the organism in Eukaryota, Metazoa, Chordata, Actinopteri, Cypriniformes, Cobitidae. The record is from RefSeq and is a predicted model, not a curated record.